GAUGAACGCUGGCGGCGUGCUUAACACAUGCAAGUCGAACGGAAAGGCCCAAGCUUGCUUGGGUCCUCGAGUGGCGAACGGGUGAGUAACACGUGGGUGAUCUGCCCUGCACUUCGGGAUAAGCCUGGGAAACUGGGUCUAAUACCGGAUAGGACCACAUUUUGGAUGGUGUGGUGGAGUUUUUUUCGGUGUGGGGUGGGCUCGGGGCCUAUCGGCUUGUUGGGGGGUUAAUGGCCUACCAAGCCGACGAGGGGUAGCCGGCCUGAGAGGGUGCCCGGCAACAGUGAGACUGAGAUACGGCCCAGACUCCGACGGGAGGGAGAAGUGGGGAAGAUUGAACAAUGGGCGCGAGCCUGAUGCAGCGACGCCGCGGGGGGGAUGACGGCCUUGGGGUUGUAGACUCCUUUCGCUAGGGACGAAGCGUUAUGUGACGGUACCUGGAGAAGAAGCACCGGCUAACUACGUG
RNAcentral lists this ribosomal RNA (466 nucleotides) under uncultured bacterium. RNAcentral's name for it is "partial 16S ribosomal RNA". It matches the Rfam family "Bacterial small subunit ribosomal RNA", at positions 28 to 507 of the family's 1533-position model. The record is from RNAcentral.